Molecule: ribosomal RNA, 305 nt
Filed under: uncultured bacterium
Lineage: Bacteria
Description: bacterial SSU rRNA
Rfam family: Bacterial small subunit ribosomal RNA
Source: RNAcentral
UAUGGCCUACGGGAGGCAGCAUUAGUUCCUUUUCUUCACUUUUCGCAAGCCUGAACGAGCAAUGCCGCGUGAACGAGGAAGGUCUUCGGAUCGUAAAGUUCUGUUGAAGGGGAAAAAGAGCGGAGAGAGGAAAUGGUCUCCGAUUGAUAUUACCCUUCGAGGAAGUCACGGCUAACUACGUGCCAGCAGCCGCGGUAAUACGUAGGUGGCGAGCGUUAUCCGGAAUGAUUGGGCGUAAAGGGUGCGUAGGCGGCCUGCUAAGUCUGGAGUGAAAGGUACCGGCUCAACCGGUACAGGCUCUGGAA